AGAGGAGAGAGGGGUUGAUUAAGAUCUCAUUGCCUAUACAGACCCGACGCCUUUCUCCACCCGAAACCCCACGGACGAAGGAGCCACCAAUCAUUGUAUCCUGGCACCUGCAGGAGGAUCUAUAUUGGUAAUUGAACCACCAACUGUAGAUCGUAUGAGCCGCCCUCCGAGCAGAUUGAGUAAUGUUGUCUUGCCACUUCCAGAAGGUCCCAUUAAGGCCAGAACUUCGCCUGGGUGUACCAAACCGACAACAGGAUGAACUGAGUUCAGUAAAGUUGCAGACAAUCAUUAUUCACCAUAUUUUGGGCAAAUAUUCAACUCAGGUUAGAGAUGGCUAUGUUUCCCAGAAGUAUACUUCUUUCCCUCUACAAAGUGAUAUGCGUUGAUUAGCUUCUUUGAGCCUUAAACAACCUGAUUUUUGACGUGCAUGAACUCAAUGUUUUCUAAAAAUCAGGCUUGUCAAGAUUCCAGGAGGACAAUUAUCCUUUCAAGUUUUUUAUUUUAUCUUUCUGGUUCUUAUUUUGUUCUCUCAGUUGGGUGGAAAGAUGGGAUGAGUCUUGUACAUGAAUGGUGAUAUAAAAUGAAACUUUGUACAAGACUGAACCUGACC
Long non-coding RNA from Cucurbita moschata (crookneck pumpkin), 610 nucleotides. RefSeq lists it as uncharacterized. The transcript has 3 exons. Lineage: Eukaryota; Viridiplantae; Streptophyta; Magnoliopsida; Cucurbitales; Cucurbitaceae. The record is from RefSeq and is a predicted model, not a curated record.